CCAAUAGCGUAUAUUAAAGUUGUUGCAGUUAAAAAGCUCGUAGUUGAACUUCGGGAUCAAUGGGUUGGUCAUGCCCUCGGUAUGUACUGAUUUCAUUGGUUCUCACCUUCUAAGGAACCAUGAUGUCAUUCGUUUGAUGUUGUGGGGAAUUAGGACUGUUACCUUGAAAAAAUUAGAGUGUUUAAAGCAGGCUAACGUUUGAAUACAUUAGCAUGGAAUAAUGAAAUAGGACAUCCGAUUCUAUUUUGUUGGUUUUUAGGAUCGAUGUAAUGAUUAAUAGGGUUAGUUGGAGGCAUUAGUAUUCAAUUGUCAGAGGUGAAAUUCUUGGAUUUAUUGAAGACUAACUACUGCGAAAGCAUUUGCCAAGGAUGUUUUCAUUAAUCAAGAACGAAAGUUAGAGGAUCGAAGACGAUCAGAUACCGUCGUAGUCUUAACCAUAAACUAUGCCGACUAGGGAUCGGAUGAUGCUUAUUUUUAAUGACUCAUUCGGCACCUUACG
RNAcentral lists this ribosomal RNA (499 nucleotides) under uncultured Glomeromycotina. Its description in RNAcentral is "partial small subunit ribosomal RNA". It matches the Rfam family "Eukaryotic small subunit ribosomal RNA", at positions 591 to 1092 of the family's 1831-position model. Lineage: Eukaryota; Fungi; Glomeromycota. The record is from RNAcentral.